UACAGAGGUGGCAAGCGUUGUUCGGAAUUACUGGGCGUAAAGGGCGCGUAGGCGGCCUUCUAAGUCAGACGUGAAAUCCCCAGGCUUAACUUGGGAACUGCGUCUGAUACUGGGAGGCUUGAGUGCGGGAGAGGGAUGUGGAAUUCCAGGUGUAGCGGUGAAAUGCGUAGAUAUCUGGAGGAACACCGGUGGCGAAGGCGGCUCGCUGGACCUUUUCUGACGCUGAGGCGCGAAAGCUAGGGGAGCAAACGGG
RNAcentral lists this ribosomal RNA (253 nucleotides) under uncultured bacterium. RNAcentral's name for it is "partial 16S ribosomal RNA". It matches the Rfam family "Bacterial small subunit ribosomal RNA", at positions 524 to 776 of the family's 1533-position model. The record is from RNAcentral.